Molecule: ribosomal RNA, 500 nt
Filed under: uncultured bacterium
Lineage: Bacteria
Description: partial 16S ribosomal RNA
Rfam family: Bacterial small subunit ribosomal RNA
Source: RNAcentral
AUUGAACGCUGGCGGCAUGCCUUACACAUGCAAGUCGAACGGCAGCGCGGACUUCGGUCUGGCGGCGAGUGGCGAACGGGUGAGUAAUACAUCGGAACGUACCCUGUUGUGGGGGAUAACUAGUCGAAAGAUUAGCUAAUACCGCAUACGACCUGAGGGUGAAAGUGGGGGACCGCAAGGCCUCACGCAGCAGGAGCGGCCGAUGUCUGAUUAGCUAGUUGGUGGGGUAAAGGCCCACCAAGGCGACGAUCAGUAGCUGGUCUGAGAGGACGAUCAGCCACACUGGGAGUGAGACACGGCCGAGACUCCUACGGGAGGCAGCAGUGGGGAAUUUUGGACAAUGGGGGCAACCUUGAGCCAGCGAUGCCGCGUGUGUGAAGAAGGCCUUCGGGUUGUAAAGCACUUUUGUCCGGAAAGAAAUCGCGCUGGUUAAUAACACUGGGGGAUGACAGUACCUGAAGAAUAAGCACCGGCUAACUACGUGCCAGCCGCCGCGGUAA